UGACUCAGGAGAGGCGGCA
This 19-nucleotide unclassified non-coding RNA is filed under the name Mus musculus (house mouse). RNAcentral describes it as "oocyte_clustered_small_RNA4982". Lineage: Eukaryota; Metazoa; Chordata; Mammalia; Rodentia; Muridae. The record is from RNAcentral.